GGCACGGUACGCAAACCGGCAAAGCGGCCGGGUCGAGGGCCCGGUGCCUGUGGGUUCGACUCCCACCCGUGCUA
Molecule: transfer RNA, 74 nt
Filed under: Planctomycetales bacterium 71-10
Lineage: Bacteria; Pseudomonadati; Planctomycetota; Planctomycetia; Planctomycetales
Description: tRNA-Leu
Rfam family: tRNA
About the family: Transfer RNA (tRNA) molecules are approximately 80 nucleotides in length.
Source: RNAcentral